RNAcentral lists this ribosomal RNA (253 nucleotides) under uncultured bacterium. RNAcentral's name for it is "partial 16S ribosomal RNA". It matches the Rfam family "Bacterial small subunit ribosomal RNA", at positions 524 to 776 of the family's 1533-position model. The record is from RNAcentral.
UACGAAGGGGGCUAGCGUUGCUCGGAAUCACUGGGCGUAAAGGGUGCGUAGGCGGGUCUUUAAGUCAGGGGUGAAAUCCUGGAGCUCAACUCCAGAACUGCCUUUGCUACUGAAGAUCUUGAGUUCGGGAGAGGUGAGUGGAACUGCGAGUGUAGAGGUGAAAUUCGUAGAUAUUCGCAAGAACACCAGUGGCGAAGGCGGCUCACUGGCCCGAUACUGACGCUGAGGCACGAAAGCGUGGGGAGCAAACAGG